RNAcentral lists this long non-coding RNA (214 nucleotides) under Carica papaya (papaya). RNAcentral describes it as "long non-coding RNA (CPAP_LNC013788)". The record is from RNAcentral. Lineage: Eukaryota; Viridiplantae; Streptophyta; Magnoliopsida; Brassicales; Caricaceae.
UAAUUUUUACUAACCUUCAAUUUUUCGUAUUAGUUAUUAGUGUAAUAUUCUUACUGGGUUAGUGUAGUUCAUCCCCUUAUUUAACCAUUUUAGAUCAACAAGAUUAAGAUCUAGAUCCUGAAUAGUAAGAUAGUUGCGAGUAAAUGUUACCUCGCGGACUCCUCAAAAUUAUUAAUGGAGGUUAACCCCAUAGAGUUUUUAUUUAUUUGGUUUU